CAAAUAUAUGUGUUUAUAUUAUGGUUUUUUUUCCAGACUCUACUUAUGUUCCAACAUCUUGGUGGGUUUCACUGAUCCUGUUUAGGUCUUAAAUAGAACUGGGAAAGAAGAAGGAACCAUGUGCUAGUCAUUCUGCCUCUUAUGCUACCUCCCUUGUCACAGUUUUUCAUCACCACAGUCCUCUGAACAGGUUGUAUCCUUCCCACUCAUAGAUGUGAAAAUCAGGCUCAGCGAGAUGACGUCCUUGCCAAAGGUCACAGUAUUAGUAACUUUGGCAAAAUUGGUGUCAGAAGCUCAAUCUUCUAGUUUAGUAACUCAUUCCACACCAUGGAUUGUACUUCUUAAACUAUAUAACAACAUGCACUUGGAGAGUUAUAAUUCUUACCUUCUAAUGUAGAAUUUUUGCUAGGAUCCUUUUACUGUAUUAGAAGAGCAUUACAGUUUAUUUCAAACCUGAUGAAUGUUUGAACUUAACUAUUUUUGAUCCAUUAACUCUAGAAACCACCAUCCCAAACUCCAUGGUUUGGAUCUAAUAACAACUUUGGGUUUCAUACAUGGCUUUACAUACACAGACACACACAGACACACACACACACACACACACACACACACACACACAGAGUCUUAAGACUCUGACCUGGAGACAUCGGAAGUAAAAGCCCAGAUUUAAGUCAUUUUUGGUGGUUGGUAAAUCCUCAGGUGUAGAAGCUCAUUACAAGGCUCUGUGUGUGUGUGUGUGUGUGUGUGUGUGUGUAAUCAUUGAUUAGAGAGAAGGUAUCUCUGACUUAACAAAUUAAAUAUGACAAUUAGGCUAUGAAGAGCAUCAACUCACUUGAGGCAAACUGUAGUGUUCUGGGAAUUAAAAAAAGGGAAAACUUACAAGAGAUUAAUCAUCAGCAUUUAUGUAUCAUCCAUCAUAAGCUAAACAAAGAAUUUUGGUUGUAUAAAUCAAUGGGACUUGGCUGAAUUCCUGGCCUAAUUAAUAAGCCAUCCACAUAAGCAGCUUAAAUAUAUUGCAAAUAAAUUACAAUAUAUUAUUUUCUCAUAUUUUUCUAGAUGUGCCAAAGCAAAUGUCCUUCAUAUCAAUUCUUUCAUUUAAAGAUCUGACACUGAGUUUCUCUCUCUUUUUGUUAUUGUAGUGUCCCCCUGAACAGUAGCCAUUGUUUCUGGACCUCCAUUUUUAAACCUUUUCUUUCUCUUCCUGAAGAUAAAGAGCAAUGCUAAUAGUUCUGGCGGAGUUAGAGAGAUGUGGCAGAAAGACAAGUCAGAGAUAUUUUAUUGCCAGAGGUAUUCAACCCGCCAUUGCUGGAGGGAGCUCAUGAAAAGCAUGAGAAGAAUGUGCACAGCCUCUAGGAGCAAAGACCAGCCCCCUGCUGACAGCCAGCAAGGAAAUAGGGACCUUAAUGCUACAAACACAAGAAACUGAACUUAGCCAGCAACCUGACUGAGCUGGGAGGCAUAUUCUUCCCUAGAGUGUCCAGUAAGGAGCGCAGCCUCAUCGGGCAUCCUGUGAGACUCUAAGCAGGGUCUGACCGACUCCUCAACUAUAGAACUGUGAGAUAAUCAAUUUGUAUUGUUUUACACCUCUAAGAAGCAAUUAUAAACUAUUAUAAUACAUGGGAGAAAGUUCGCUUUGCUGAUUAGGGAAUACAUGUACUGAUGAAAGCAAAAUACGUUUGUUUGAAAUAAAAAUCGUGCUAAAUGGG
This is a long non-coding RNA of Homo sapiens (human), 1706 nucleotides long. RefSeq lists it as uncharacterized. The transcript is spliced from 2 exons. Lineage: Eukaryota; Metazoa; Chordata; Mammalia; Primates; Hominidae. The record is from RefSeq and is a predicted model, not a curated record.